UACGUAGGGUGCAAGCGUUGUCCGGAAUUAUUGGGCGUAAAGAGCUCGUAGGCGGUUUGUUGCGUCGGCUGUGAAAUCCCGAGGCUCAACCUCGGGUCUGCAGUCGAUACGAGCAAACUAGAGUGUUGCAGGGAGACUGGAAUUCCUGGUGAUAGCGGUGAAAUGCGCAGAUAUCAGGAGGAACACCGGUGGCGAAGGCGGGUCUCUGGGCAACAACAUGACGCUGGAGGAGCGAAAGCGUGGGGAGCGAACAGGAUUAG
This 260-nucleotide ribosomal RNA is filed under the name uncultured bacterium. Its description in RNAcentral is "partial 16S ribosomal RNA". It matches the Rfam family "Bacterial small subunit ribosomal RNA", at positions 524 to 781 of the family's 1533-position model. The record is from RNAcentral.